RNAcentral lists this ribosomal RNA (465 nucleotides) under Vreelandella stevensii. RNAcentral's name for it is "partial 16S ribosomal RNA". It matches the Rfam family "Bacterial small subunit ribosomal RNA", at positions 338 to 795 of the family's 1533-position model. The record is from RNAcentral. Lineage: Bacteria; Pseudomonadati; Pseudomonadota; Gammaproteobacteria; Oceanospirillales; Halomonadaceae.
CCUACGGGUGGCAGCAGUGGGGAAUAUUGGACAAUGGGGGGAACCCUGAUCCAGCCAUGCCGCGUGUGUGAAGAAGGCCCUCGGGUUGUAAAGCACUUUCAGUGAGGAAGAACGCCUGGUGGUUAAUACCCAUCAGGAAAGACAUCACUCACAGAAGAAGCACCGGCUAACUCCGUGCCAGCAGCCGCGGUAAUACGGAGGGUGCGAGCGUUAAUCGGAAUUACUGGGCGUAAAGCGCGCGUAGGUGGCUUGAUAAGCCGGUUGUGAAAGCCCCGGGCUCAACCUGGGAACGGCAUCCGGAACUGUCAAGCUAGAGUGCAGGAGAGGAAGGUAGAAUUCCCGGUGUAGCGGUGAAAUGCGUAGAGAUCGGGAGGAAUACCAGUGGCGAAGGCGGCCUUCUGGACUGACACUGACACUGAGGUGCGAAAGCGUGGGUAGCAAACAGGAUUAGAUACUCGUGUAGUC